Molecule: microRNA precursor, 88 nt
Filed under: Equus caballus (horse)
Lineage: Eukaryota; Metazoa; Chordata; Mammalia; Perissodactyla; Equidae
Description: mir-9014 microRNA precursor family
Rfam family: mir-9014 microRNA precursor family
Source: Rfam by way of RNAcentral
GGAGCCAUAGGGAGGGACCCCAAUCUAGCCUUAGGAAAAGAAACCUUCCACAGGAGUCUUGGAGAUUGAUGACCAUCCUGAUAACUUA